UCCCUGGUGGCUCAGACAGUAAAGCAUCUGCCUGUAAUGUGGGAGACCUGGGUUCGAUUCCUGGAUCGGGAA
This 72-nucleotide transfer RNA is filed under the name Ovis aries (sheep). It matches the Rfam family "tRNA". Rfam says of the family: Transfer RNA (tRNA) molecules are approximately 80 nucleotides in length. Their secondary structure includes four short double-helical elements and three loops (D, anti-codon, and T loops). The record is from Rfam by way of RNAcentral. Lineage: Eukaryota; Metazoa; Chordata; Mammalia; Artiodactyla; Bovidae.